This 568-nucleotide ribosomal RNA is filed under the name uncultured bacterium. RNAcentral's name for it is "bacterial SSU rRNA". It matches the Rfam family "Bacterial small subunit ribosomal RNA", at positions 34 to 649 of the family's 1533-position model. The record is from RNAcentral.
CGCUGGCGGCAGGCUUAACACAUGCAAGUCGAACGGGCUCUUCGGAGCUAGUGGCAGACGGGUGAGUAACGCGUGGGAACGUGCCUUUCGGUUCGGAAUAACUCAGGGAAACUUGAACUAAUACCGGAUACGCCCUUCGGGGGAAAGAUUUAUCGCCGAAAGAUCGGCCCGCGUCUGAUUAGCUAGUUGGUGAGGUAAUGGCUCACCAAGGCGACGAUCAGUAGCUGGUCUGAGAGGAUGAUCAGCCACAUUGGGACUGAGACACGGCCCAAACUCCUACGGGAGGCAGCAGUGGGGAAUAUUGGACAAUGGGCGCAAGCCUGAUCCAGCCAUGCCGCGUGAGUGAUGAAGGCCUUAGGGUUGUAAAGCUCUUUUGUCCGGGAAGAUAAUGACUGUACCGGAAGAAUAAGCCCCGGCUAACUUCGUGCCAGCAGCCGCGGUAAUACGAAGGGGGCUAGCGUUGCUCGGAAUCACUGGGCGUAAAGGGCGCGUAGGCGGACUCUUAAGUCGGGGGUGAAAGCCCAAGGCUCAACCCUGGAAUUGCUUCGAUACUGGGAGUCUUGAAUUC